GUCGCGGGGGGGAGGAGGAGGAGGAGGAGGGACUGAGUGGCGGCGGCCCCCGCGUCCCGGUGCCUCUAUGGGGAAAGCAGACAAUGGAUUAUGAUUUCAAGGCGAAGCUGGCGGCGGAGCGGGAGCGGGUGGAGGAUUUGUUUGAGUACGAAGGGUGCAAAGUGGGACGCGGCACCUACGGGCACGUCUACAAGGCGAGGCGAAAAGAUGGAUUCCAGGAGGGCUUCGUGUAUGGACCUCAGGCGUUGGAGGUAGCAGACUUUUCAGCAGAAGAUCGGCAUUGACAUAGUACAGUGGUGCGAGUGAGUCCAUAUGCCUCUUGGAUUCUGCCACUUCUUCAGAUGGUGAACCUCAGAGGUGCAGCAUCAUCGCUUAUCAUCUGACAGUUAAUAUACAAGAGAAAUGGUAAUACUACAUGUACUUUCUUUCAUUCUCAGUGCAAAAGCUGAAGAUAACUCUUAAGUUUGCAGAUCUUUGAGUGUUUUAUUAAUUUAGCAGAUGGAAG
This 505-nucleotide long non-coding RNA is filed under the name Sus scrofa (pig). RNAcentral describes it as "lncRNA (ENSSSCG00060047143.1)". Lineage: Eukaryota; Metazoa; Chordata; Mammalia; Artiodactyla; Suidae. The record is from RNAcentral.